RNAcentral lists this ribosomal RNA (468 nucleotides) under uncultured bacterium. RNAcentral describes it as "partial 16S ribosomal RNA". It matches the Rfam family "Bacterial small subunit ribosomal RNA", at positions 28 to 507 of the family's 1533-position model. The record is from RNAcentral.
GACGAACGCUGGCGGCGUGCUUAACACAUGCAAGUCGAACGGAAAGGCCCUGCUUUUGUGUGGUGCUCGAGUGGCGAACGGGUGAGUAACACGUGAGUAACCUUCCCUUGACUUUGUGAUAACUUCAGGAAACUGGGGCUAAUACCGGAUAGGAGCUCCUGCUGCAUGGUGGGGGUUGGAAAGUUUCGGCGGUUGGGGAUGGACUCGCGGCUUAUCAGCUUGUUGGUGGGGGAGUGGCUUACCAAGGCUUUGACGGGUAGCCGGCCUGAGAGGGUGACCGGCCACAUUGGGACUGAGAUACGGCCCAGACUCCUACGGGAGGCAGCAGUGGGGAAUAUUGCACAAUGGGCGGAAGCCUGAUGCAGCAACGCCGCGUGCGGGAUGACGGCCUUCGGGUUGUAAACCGCUUUCGCCUGUGACGAAGCGUGAGUGACGGUAAUGGGUAAAGAAGCACCGGCUAACUACGUG